GUCGAACGGAGUAGCAAUACUCAGUGGCAGACGGGUGAGUAACAUGUGGGUAUCUUCCCUUUGGUGAGGAAUAACACGAGGAAACUUGUGCUAAUACCUCAUAAGUCUUUACAGAGAAAGCUUUGUGCGCCAUUGGAUGAGCCCGCACUUGAUUAGUUUGUUGGUGGGGUAAUGGCCUACCAAGACUUUGAUCAAUAGCUGAUUUGAGAGGAUGAUCAGCCACAUUGGGACUGAGACACGGCCCAAACUCCUACGGGAGGCAGCAGUAGGGAAUCUUGCACAAUGGAGGAAACUCUGAUGCAGCGAUGCCGCGUGAGUGAAGAAGGCCCUUGGGUUGUAAAGCUCUUUCGUCGGGGAAGAAAAUGACUGUACCCGAAUAAGAAGGUCCGGCUAACUUCGUGCCAGCAGCCGCGGUAAUACGAAGGGACCUAGCGUAGUUCGGAAUUACUGGGCUUAAAGAGUUCGUAGGUGGUUAAAAAAGUUGGUGGUGAAAUCCCAGAGCUUAACUCUGGAACUGCCAUCAAAACUUUUUAGCUAGAGUAUGAUAGAGGAAAGCAGAAUUUCUAGUGUAGAGGUGAAAUUCGUAGAUAUUAGAAAGAAUACCAAUUGCGAAGGCAGCUUUCUGGAUCAUUACUGACACUGAGGAACGAAAGCAUGGGUAGCGAAGAGGAUUAGAUACCCUCGUAGUCCA
This 691-nucleotide ribosomal RNA is filed under the name uncultured Alphaproteobacteria bacterium. RNAcentral describes it as "bacterial SSU rRNA". It matches the Rfam family "Bacterial small subunit ribosomal RNA", at positions 61 to 797 of the family's 1533-position model. Lineage: Bacteria; Pseudomonadati; Pseudomonadota; Alphaproteobacteria. The record is from RNAcentral.